GUCGAGCGGACCUUUCGGGGUCAGCGGCGGACGGGUGAGUAACACGUGGGCAAUCUGCCCGAUACUCUGGGAUAACGCUUGGAAACGAGUGCUAAUACCGGAUGGUCUUCUUGGCCGCAUGGCCGAAAAGGAAAAGACGCGUUCGCGUCGGUGUCGGAUGAGCCCGCGGCGCAUUAGCUAGUUGGUGAGGUAACGGCCCACCAAGGCGACGAUGCGUAGCCGACCUGAGAGGGUGACCGGCCACACUGGGACUGAGACACGGCCCAGACUCCUACGGGAGGCAGCAGUAGGGAAUCUUCCGCAAUGGGCGAAAGCCUGAUGGAGCAACGCCGCGUGAGUGAUGAAGGCCUUCGGGUUGUAAAACUCUGUCAUUCGGGACGAACCGGAGUCUGAGGAAAUGCAGACUCUCUGACGGUACCGGAGGAGGAAGCCCCGGCUAACUACGUGCCAGCAGCCGCGGUAAUACGUAGGGGGCAAGCGUUGUCCGGAUUCACUGGGCGUAAAGCGCGCGCAGGCGGUGAUGUAAGUCUGAGGUGAAAACCCGAAGCUCAACUUCGGGACUGCCUUGGAUACUGCGUCACUUGAGGAUAGGAGAGGCAAGGGGAAUUCCACGUGUAGCGGUGAAAUGCGUAGAGAUGUGGAGGAACACCUGUGGCG
RNAcentral lists this ribosomal RNA (657 nucleotides) under uncultured bacterium. Its description in RNAcentral is "bacterial SSU rRNA". It matches the Rfam family "Bacterial small subunit ribosomal RNA", at positions 61 to 717 of the family's 1533-position model. The record is from RNAcentral.